Molecule: ribosomal RNA, 477 nt
Filed under: uncultured bacterium
Lineage: Bacteria
Description: partial 16S ribosomal RNA
Rfam family: Bacterial small subunit ribosomal RNA
Source: RNAcentral
AUGAACGCUGGCGGCGUGCUUAACACAUGCAAGUCGAACGAGAAGUGAAGACGGAAACCUUCGGGCGGAAGGCUUUAUUUCGAGUGGCGGACGGGUGAGUAACGCGUGGGUAACCUGCCUCAUACAGGGGGAUAACAGUUGGAAACGACUGUUAAUACCGCAUAAGACCACAGCACCGCAUGGUGCGGGGGUAAAAACUCCGGUGGUAUCAGAUGGACCCGCGUUCGAUUAGCCAGUUGGCGGGGUAACGGCCCACCAAAGCGACGAUCGAUAGCCGAUCUGAGAGGAUGACCGGCCACAUUGGGACUGAGACACGGCCCAAACUCCUACGGGAGGCAGCAGUGGGGAAUAUUGCACAAUGGGGGAAACCCUGAUGCAGCGACGCCGCGUGAGUGAAGAAGUAUUUCGGUAUGUAAAGCUCUAUCAGCAGGGAAGAAAAUGACGGUACCUGAGUAAGAAGCCCCGGCUAACUACGUG